CAAGUCGAACGCGAAAGUCCCGCAAGGGAUUAGUAGAGUGGCAAACGGGUGAGUAACACGUGGGUGACCUGCCUUCGAGCGGGGGAUAACGUCCCGAAAGGGACGCUAAUACCGCAUGACAUCCUGCCUUUGAAGAGGCGGCGAUCAAAGCUGGCGCAAGCUAGCACUCGAAGAGGGGCCCGCGCCCGAUUAGCUAGUUGGUGAGGUAACGGCUCACCAAGGCAACGAUCGGUAGCCGGCCUGAGAGGGCGGACGGCCACACUGGGACUGAGACACGGCCCAGACUCCUACGGGAGGCAGCAGUGGGGAAUUGUUCGCAAUGGGCGCAAGCCUGACGACGCAACGCCGCGUGGAGGAUGAAGAUCUUCGGGUCGUAAACUCCUUUCGAUCGAGACGAAUAGCCCCUGGGCUAAUCACCAGGGGAAUGACGGUACCGAGAGAAGAAGCCCCGGCUAACUCCGUGCCAGCAGCCGCGGUAAUACGGGGGGGGCAAGCGUUGUUCGGAAUUACUGGGCGUAAAGGGCUCGUAGGCGGCCAACUAAGUCAGACGUGAAAUCCCUCGGCUUAACCGGGGAACUGCGUCUGAUACUGGAUGGCUUGAGUUCGGGAGAGGGAUGUGGAAUUCCAGGUGUAGCGGUGAAAUGCGUAGAUAUCUGGAGGAACACCGGUGGCGAAGGCGGCAUCCUGGACCGACACUGACGCUGAUGAGCGAAAGCCAGGGGAGCAAACGGGAUUAGAUACCCCGGUAGUCCUGGCCCUAAACGAUGAAUGCUUGGUGUGGCGGGUAUCGAUCCCUGCCGUGCCGAAGCUAACGCAUUAAGCAUUCCGCCUGGGGAGUACGGUCGCAAGGCUGAAAC
RNAcentral lists this ribosomal RNA (857 nucleotides) under uncultured Acidobacteriota bacterium. Its description in RNAcentral is "bacterial SSU rRNA". It matches the Rfam family "Bacterial small subunit ribosomal RNA", at positions 58 to 900 of the family's 1533-position model. Lineage: Bacteria; Pseudomonadati; Acidobacteriota. The record is from RNAcentral.